This 463-nucleotide ribosomal RNA is filed under the name uncultured bacterium. RNAcentral's name for it is "partial 16S ribosomal RNA". It matches the Rfam family "Bacterial small subunit ribosomal RNA", at positions 30 to 507 of the family's 1533-position model. The record is from RNAcentral.
AGCGAACGCUGGCGGCGUGCUUAACACAUGCAAGUCGAACGGUGAACCUCUUCGGAGGGGAUCAGUGGCGAACGGGUGAGUAAAACGUGGGCAACCUGCCCCCGGCUCUGGGAUAACUCCAAGAAAUUGGGGCUAAUACCACAUUUUCACCGCUUCCCGCAUGGGUGGUGGUGGAAAGGGUUUGCGGCUUGGGAUGGGCCCGCUGCCUAGCAGCUGGUUGGUGGGGUAGUGGCCUUCGAAGGCGACGACGGGUAGCCGGCAUGGGAGGGUGACCGGCCACACGGGGACUACGAGAGGGCCCAGACGCCAACGGGAGGCAGCAGGGGGGAAUCUUGCGCAAGGGGCCGACGCCUGACGAAGAGACGUUCGGUGGGGAAUGACGGCCUUCGGGUUGUAAACAUCUUUAAGCAGGGACGACGCGGAAGUGACGGUACCUGCAGAAGAAGCACCGGCUAACUACGUG